CGGAGGAGCUAGCGUUGUUCGGAAUUACUGGGCGUAAAGCGUACGUAGGCGGUUAUUCAAGUCAGAGGUGAAAGCCUGGAGCUCAACUCCAGAACUGCCUUUGAAACUAGAUAGCUAGAAUCUUGGAGAGGUGAGUGGAAUUCCGAGUGUAGAGGUGAAAUUCGUAGAUAUUCGGAAGAACACCAGUGGCGAAGGCGACUCACUGGACAAGUAUUGACGCUGAGGUACGAAAGCGUGGGAGCAAACAGGAUU
RNAcentral lists this ribosomal RNA (252 nucleotides) under uncultured bacterium. Its description in RNAcentral is "partial 16S ribosomal RNA". It matches the Rfam family "Bacterial small subunit ribosomal RNA", at positions 527 to 779 of the family's 1533-position model. The record is from RNAcentral.